AACGAAGGGGAUCAAAGAGGGAAGACGUGGGAUGAGAUGUCUCACUGCUGCGUCACCCCGCUUCGUUUUGCUCCUGUUCGGUUUACCUCCACCCAGAGUUUACAGUUUAAUGCCACUUUCAAGAAACCAAGUUAGAUGUGACACACGAGGAAACGCGGCAAAGGAAGAUUUUUGUAACGAUUGGAAUCCUAUUUUAGAGCAUCCCACAGAGCCAUUUGCAUGUGCGCUGACGAGCUCAUCUCCAAGGAGUUUCAGAGAAGUAUUAUUGGCUUCCUCUUGGUUCUUUCAGCGCUUGUGACUGACAGAUGAGGCGCUGAGUUACCCUCAGCUCUGAAACUCAUCAUCAGCCCGAUAGCAGAUGAGAUCAAUGACAAGACAGGCCUGCUGGAGACCAAGAAGUAAGAAAUGAGACUGAGAUUCACAGAGACUGUUUUGGUUCCAAAAGCUGCAGGAUUGAUCAUCAACGUGGUGAAAAAAGGCUGCCUGUGGCAUGAGCCUGAAACAUGAGAUCCACCAGUGUGGUUAACAGUUUGAAAAAAGCUCUCUUCCCUAAAAUACUGCCUUCAUUUUUCUCCGGAGUUACAUACUUUUCUAGCAGCAACAGCAGCAGCGCAUGCUGUUGUCAAUUAGCUCAGUUACAAGCCAUUUAGCUGUCAGUACGGUUUUAGGACGGCUCUGCAGGAGGUAUAGCUGAAAGCCACUGGCUGGAAACGGAAAUAAAAGCUAAAAAAAAAAAAAAAAAAAAAACUCAAAUAAUCUAAAGAUUCAAAUAGAGAACUUAUUACAACAUAUUUUUCAUGAAAUUAGUAAAACACAUUUAACUGUUUACCUGCAACUUUCUGAUGUGAAACUUGUUCAGUUUUGAAGUAUAAAAACUAAAAUACUCCAAAUUAAACUGCCCAAAAGUUCUGUAAAAAAUGUUAUGUCAGCUACAGAACCCAAAGAAAUUGACAAAAGGGGAAAGAUGCCUAAAAAAAACCCCAUAAAAAUGUGAAAUGAUUGCUGGAGUUGAUGCAUUCUGGUCUGUAAUAUGAUUAGCCAUAAAAUUAAUGUCUUUCAGGCUUUGAGAUGGGUAGAGGUUCUCCAACCUGUAAAAUAUGCGAAAAGAAAUGUGUGAAACUGUAGAAACCCAUUCUCUCAUCAUCAAAUCACAAAGACCUUGCAAAUGUCAGGAAAAUAAACUGUUUCAAAUGUGUCCAGACUGCAGAGAAGGGACAACUUAUGGGGUGUUGCCAGAAUGGAGUUCAAAAGUAUUUUUGAUGGUAUGGAGGUCUGUGAGGCUGCAAAAGAAAGACAGCUUGCAUUGUCUCCAAAGAUCUGUAAAUACAGAAAACUAUAGUUUUAGAGUACAUGUUCCCCUCUGGAUAAUGUCUGUUUCAGGGAAAGCCUUGUGUAUUUAAUGGGAUUUUCCAAAUGUUUGGCUGGCAGAAAUGUUUUUCUAUACUCCAGUUUCAUCUGCUAAUUUUCUGGGCUUAUUGAAACUGUGUAUUUUCUACCAUUAUUAUUAUUAUUAUUAUUUUGAGAUAUGAUCUGUAAACCCAUCACAGCUUUAAUUAAAUAUACGGAGAAGGUUUGAAUCAUA
This is a non-coding RNA of Oryzias latipes (Japanese medaka), 1582 nucleotides long. The record is from RefSeq and is a predicted model, not a curated record. Lineage: Eukaryota; Metazoa; Chordata; Actinopteri; Beloniformes; Adrianichthyidae.